CUUAUUCUUUUAUAAGAGUGACGGGCGAUAUGUGCAUGUUAAAUUUCAAUUUCAAUAUAAAAUAUCUUUUAAUUUUAUUUUUAAGUCCUAUUUCUUUUAUUCUUUCUUAUCAGAUAAUUAUUUAUUGUAUUCCACCAUUUCUUGUAAAUAAUUCUUGUAUUGAUUUGUUUUUCUAUUUAAUUUGAAUAUUACAAAAUGUUAUUUAUUUUCAUUUUUUAAAACAAUAAUAUGAGUAAUAAUAUAACAAGUCACUUAAAUCGUGGGUUAUCGAUUAUAAUACAGAAUCCCCUAAUUUGAUUUUACACCGCCAUUUUAAUUAGAUUUUUCUUUAUAUAGAUACUUUCUGUUUUUGUUUUAAAA
RNAcentral lists this ribosomal RNA (360 nucleotides) under Phyllocoptes sp. FJ13_1. RNAcentral's name for it is "partial small subunit ribosomal RNA". The record is from RNAcentral. Lineage: Eukaryota; Metazoa; Arthropoda; Arachnida; Trombidiformes; Eriophyidae.